Molecule: ribosomal RNA, 1047 nt
Filed under: Vibrio antiquarius
Lineage: Bacteria; Pseudomonadati; Pseudomonadota; Gammaproteobacteria; Vibrionales; Vibrionaceae
Description: bacterial SSU rRNA
Rfam family: Bacterial small subunit ribosomal RNA
Source: RNAcentral
GUUAGCGACAGAAGAAGCACCGGCUAACUCCGUGCCAGCAGCCGCGGUAAUACGGAGGGUGCGAGCGUUAAUCGGAAUUACUGGGCGUAAAGCGCAUGCAGGUGGUUUGUUAAGUCAGAUGUGAAAGCCCGGGGCUCAACCUCGGAAUAGCAUUUGAAACUGGCAGACUAGAGUACUGUAGAGGGGGGUAGAAUUUCAGGUGUAGCGGUGAAAUGCGUAGAGAUCUGAAGGAAUACCGGUGGCGAAGGCGGCCCCCUGGACAGAUACUGACACUCAGAUGCGAAAGCGUGGGGAGCAAACAGGAUUAGAUACCCUGGUAGUCCACGCCGUAAACGAUGUCUACUUGGAGGUUGUGGCCUUGAGCCGUGGCUUUCGGAGCUAACGCGUUAAGUAGACCGCCUGGGGAGUACGGUCGCAAGAUUAAAACUCAAAUGAAUUGACGGGGGCCCGCACAAGCGGUGGAGCAUGUGGUUUAAUUCGAUGCAACGCGAAGAACCUUACCUACUCUUGACAUCCAGAGAACUUUCCAGAGAUGGAUUGGUGCCUUCGGGAACUCUGAGACAGGUGCUGCAUGGCUGUCGUCAGCUCGUGUUGUGAAAUGUUGGGUUAAGUCCCGCAACGAGCGCAACCCUUAUCCUUGUUUGCCAGCGAGUAAUGUCGGGAACUCCAGGGAGACUGCCGGUGAUAAACCGGAGGAAGGUGGGGACGACGUCAAGUCAUCAUGGCCCUUACGAGUAGGGCUACACACGUGCUACAAUGGCGCAUACAGAGGGCAGCCAACUUGCGAAAGUGAGCGAAUCCCAAAAAGUGCGUCGUAGUCCGGAUUGGAGUCUGCAACUCGACUCCAUGAAGUCGGAAUCGCUAGUAAUCGUGGAUCAGAAUGCCACGGUGAAUACGUUCCCGGGCCUUGUACACACCGCCCGUCACACCAUGGGAGUGGGCUGCAAAAGAAGUAGGUAGUUUAACCUUCGGGGGGACGCUUACCACUUUGUGGUUCAUGACUGGGGUGAAGUCGUAACAAGGUAGCGCUAGGGGAACCUGGCGCUG